RNAcentral lists this ribosomal RNA (495 nucleotides) under uncultured bacterium. RNAcentral describes it as "partial 16S ribosomal RNA". It matches the Rfam family "Bacterial small subunit ribosomal RNA", at positions 28 to 507 of the family's 1533-position model. The record is from RNAcentral.
GACGAACGCUGGCGGCGUGCCUAAUACAUGCAAGUAGAACGCUGAAGGAGGAGCUUGCUUCUCCGGAUGAGUGGCGAACGGGUGAGUAACGCGUAGGUAACCUGCCUGGUAGCGGGGGAUAACUAUUGGAAACGAUAGCUAAUACCGCAUAAGAGUAGAUGUCGCAUGACAUUUGCUUAAAAGGUGCAACUGCACCACUACCAGAUGGACCUGCGUUGUUUUGGCUAGGUGGUGGGGCAACGGCUCACCAAGGCAACGAGACAUAGCCGACCGGAGAGGGGGGUCGGCCACCCUGGGACUGUGACCCGGCCCAGACGCCCUGGGGAGGCGGCAGUAGGGAUACUUCGGCCAGCGGCGGAAGUCUGACCGAGCAACGCCGCGUGCGUGAAGAAGGUCUUCGGAUCGUAAAGCUCUGUUGUCAGGGAAGAACGCGUGUGAGACUGGAAAGUUCACACUGUGACGGUAUCUUAUCAGAAAGGGACGGCUAACUACGUG